CCUACGGGUGGCAGCAGUGGGGAAUAUUGGGCAAUGGGCGCAAGCCUGACCCAGCAACGCCGCGUGAAGGAAGAAGGCUUUCGGGUUGUAAACUUCUUUUGAUAGGGAAGAGCAGAAGACGGUACCUGUCGAAUAAGCUAUGGCUAAAUACGUGCCAGCAGCCGCGGUAAUACGUAAGUGGCAAGCGUUGUCCGGAUUUACUGGGUGUAAAGGGCGUGUAGCCGGGCUGACAAGUCAGAUGUGAAAUCCGGGGGCUCAAACCCCCGAACUGCAUUUGAAACUGGUUGUCUUGAGUAUCGGAGAGGCAGGCGGAAUUCGUGGUGUAGCGGUGAAAUGCGUAGAUAUUAGGAAGAACACCGAUGGCGAAGGCAGCCUGCUGGACGGCAACUGACGGUGAGGCGCGAAAGCGUGGGGAGCAAACAGGAUUAGAUACCCGAGUAGUC
Molecule: ribosomal RNA, 443 nt
Filed under: uncultured bacterium
Lineage: Bacteria
Description: partial 16S ribosomal RNA
Rfam family: Bacterial small subunit ribosomal RNA
Source: RNAcentral